Molecule: non-coding RNA, 74 nt
Organism: Nephila pilipes (giant wood spider)
Lineage: Eukaryota; Metazoa; Arthropoda; Arachnida; Araneae; Nephilidae
Source: the annotation of a GenBank genome assembly
ACAGGGGUGAGCUCAGAUGGUAGAGCGUUCGCUUAGCAUGCGAGAGGUAGGUGAUCGAUCCGCCCCCUUUCGCG